UACGUAGGUGGCAAGCGUUGUCCGGAUUUACUGGGCGUAAAGAGCGCGCAGGCGGUCGAUUUAGUCGCGUGUGAAAGCCCCCGGCUCAACUGGGGAGGGUCACGCGAUACUGAUCGACUCGAAGGCAGGAGAGGGUAGUGGAAUUCCAGGUGUAGCGGUGAAAUGCGUAGAUAUCUGGAGGAAUACCGGUGGCGAAGGCGGCAUCCUGGACCGACAUUGACGCUGAGGAGCGAAAGCUAGGGGAGCAAACGGG
RNAcentral lists this ribosomal RNA (253 nucleotides) under uncultured bacterium. Its description in RNAcentral is "partial 16S ribosomal RNA". It matches the Rfam family "Bacterial small subunit ribosomal RNA", at positions 524 to 776 of the family's 1533-position model. The record is from RNAcentral.